RNAcentral lists this ribosomal RNA (254 nucleotides) under uncultured bacterium. RNAcentral describes it as "partial 16S ribosomal RNA". It matches the Rfam family "Bacterial small subunit ribosomal RNA", at positions 524 to 776 of the family's 1533-position model. The record is from RNAcentral.
CACGUAGGGUGCGAGCGUUGUCCGGAAUUAUUGGGCGUAAAGAGCUCGUAGGCGGUUUGUCGCGUCGGCCGUGAAAACCUGCAGCUUAACUGUGGGCUUGCGGUCGAUACGGGCAUCACUGGAGUUCGGCAGGGGAGACUGGAAUUCCUGGUGUAGCGGUGAAAUGCGCAGAUAUCAGGAGGAACACCGGUGGCGAAGGCGGGUCUCUGGGCCGAUACUGACGCUGAGGCGCGAAAGCGUGGGGAGCAAACAGG